Molecule: ribosomal RNA, 34 nt
Filed under: Steinernema poinari
Lineage: Eukaryota; Metazoa; Nematoda; Chromadorea; Rhabditida; Steinernematidae
Description: partial 28S ribosomal RNA
Source: RNAcentral
UACGACCUCAACUCAAGCAAGGCUACCCGCUGAA